Molecule: ribosomal RNA, 446 nt
Filed under: uncultured bacterium
Lineage: Bacteria
Description: bacterial SSU rRNA
Rfam family: Bacterial small subunit ribosomal RNA
Source: RNAcentral
GAUGAACGCUAGCGGAACGCCUAACACAUGCAAGUCGGUCUUGAUUUUUUCGAGAGGCAAACGGGUGCGUAACACGUGCUUAACCUGCCCUAGAGAGGGGAACAACUUCGGAAACGAAGCUAAUUCCGCAUACGCUCCGGUGAAUGAAAAACAACCGGAGGAAAGCUUUCGAGCACUCUAGGAGGGGGGCGCGGUCUAUUAGCUUGUUGGUGAGGUAACGGCUCACCAAGGCUACGAUGGAUAGCUGGUCUGAGAGGAUGAUCAGCCACAAUGGAACUGAGACACGGUCCAUACCCCUACGGGGGGCAGCAGUGGGGAAUAUUGCGCAAUGGGCGAAAGCCUGACGCAGCGAUUCCGCGUGGAGGACGACGCCUUACGGGGUGUAAACUCCUUUUCUGGAGGAAGACGAAUGACGGUACUUCAGGAAUAAGGGACGGCUAACUACG